UACGAACACACACACAGGUAAAACGAAAUGAAUCGGCGCUAAACAUUGCCCGUACAGGUGACUCUCGCUCUUCAUUACCUGCUUCCUGGUUGGUGGUCACGCCAGGCUCACUUUCACUACCGGGGACGUGGGAGAAUGGGAAGGUGGGGAGGUUGGGAGUGAGGGGAGGAGGAAGGGGGGGAGGGGAGUUGCAGCGGGGAUUAGAUGACACAAGAGUUGGGGUUGCUUUCAAGGGGAUGACCAUAAGGAAGAGGAGGAGGAAGGGGAAGGGAAGCGAGGUAAGGAGAGAAAGAAAGGGAAGAAGGAUGUGGAAGUAUGAAGGGAUUGAAGGAAUGGAGGAGGAUGGGAAGAGAGGUAAGGAGAGAGGGAAAGGGAAGAAGGAAGGGGAAGAAUGAAGGGAUUGAAGGAAUGGAGGAGGAAGGCAAGAGAGGUAAGGAGAGAGAAAGGGAAGAAGGAAGGGAAAGGGAAGCAAAGAAGAAAAGCAAAUAAGAAUACAAAAAAAAAAGAUAGAGAGAAAACUUACUGGACAUAGGAAGAGAGGGAGGAGACAAGAGAGGAAGAAUAGGGAGAGGGAAAGGGAGAAAGGGAGGAUAUAGGGAGGAAUAAAAAAGGGGAAGUAAGGCUGGAUUAAGGGGGGAAGGAGGGAGAGGAUUUGGAGGGGGAGGAACCUGGGGAUUUGUGGGGAUUACGUGUAUGCAGUGCUGUGGCUGGGGAGGAAAGGGGAGGGGAAGGGAAGGAAGAGAAAUAGGAGAAGGACAUGGAGGAGAGGAAGGGGUAGGGUUUGGGUGGAGAGAAAAAGGAAUGGAGGUGAGGAAGAGGAGAGAAGGGAAGGGAAGGGAAAAGGUAAUGUAAGAGAAAGGGAGAGGGGAGGGAGGGGAAAGAGAAGGUAGGGAAAGGGAAGGAAAG
Eriocheir sinensis (Chinese mitten crab) is the source of this 906-nucleotide long non-coding RNA. RefSeq lists it as uncharacterized. The transcript has 2 exons. The record is from RefSeq and is a predicted model, not a curated record. NCBI's taxonomy places the organism in Eukaryota, Metazoa, Arthropoda, Malacostraca, Decapoda, Varunidae.